UCUCCGUAGGUGAACCUGCGGAGGGAUCAUUACAGGGUUCGUGCCCUCGCGGGUAGAUCUCCCACCCUGUGUUAUUGCUACCUUUGUUGCUUUGGCGGGCCGCCCUCGGCUACCGGCCCCGGCUGGUACGCGCCCGCCAGAGGACCCCAAACCCUGAACGUCAGUGUCGUCUGAGUACUAUACAAUAGUUAAAACUUUCAACAACGGAUCUCUUGGUUCUG
Molecule: unclassified non-coding RNA, 221 nt
Filed under: plant metagenome
Description: partial contains small subunit ribosomal RNA, internal transcribed spacer 1, and 5.8S ribosomal RNA
Source: RNAcentral